CCCAAGAGCCGUGGCGAUUUGUUCACCGGAUUGCGGGCCACGUUAAACAUGCCGCUAAAGAGGUCUGGGUAAGCCCCCG
This 79-nucleotide non-coding RNA is filed under the name Rhodovulum sp. RNAcentral also lists the same sequence under 1 other name. Lineage: Bacteria; Pseudomonadati; Pseudomonadota; Alphaproteobacteria; Rhodobacterales; Paracoccaceae. The record is from RNAcentral.